RNAcentral lists this ribosomal RNA (250 nucleotides) under uncultured bacterium. RNAcentral's name for it is "partial 16S ribosomal RNA". It matches the Rfam family "Bacterial small subunit ribosomal RNA", at positions 524 to 773 of the family's 1533-position model. The record is from RNAcentral.
UACGUAGGUGACAAGCGUUGUCCGGAUUUAUUGGGCGUAAAGGGCGCGCAGGCGGUUCGUUAAGUCCGAGGUGAAAUCUCCCGGCUCAACUGGGAGGGGUCUUCGGAUACUGGCGGACUUGAGGAGAGCAGAGGUGAGUGGAAUUCUCGGUGUAGUGGUGAAAUGCGUAGAUAUCGAGAGGAACACCAGUGGCGAAGGCGACUCACUGGGCUCCACCUGACGCUGAGGCGCGAAAGCGUGGGGAGCGAAC